Molecule: long non-coding RNA, 534 nt
Organism: Colossoma macropomum (tambaqui)
Lineage: Eukaryota; Metazoa; Chordata; Actinopteri; Characiformes; Serrasalmidae
Exons: 3
Source: RefSeq, a predicted model, not a curated record
AGGGUGAGGCUACCGAUCUGAUGCUCCUGAAGAGUGUGAGAGUCAGAGAGGAGACAGAGAGGCAGAGAGAGCAAGAAACAAAAUAGAAAGAGGGGAAAAAAAGCUAGUGGAAGCACUAGGACACAAUCAACGCCACUGUCUUCUGAGACGAAAACGCGUCAGGUCAUCCGAGGUGCUGCAGGGAGAUGGUAGCCGUUGCCAUUGCCUCUCUGUAUGAUCCUGAGCAGUACCAACUGACGACACAGCUGAGAAGAUUUCAUGAGAGAAAACUGGACUGAAGCUGCACUCUAUGGUCACAUACACAUUAAUGAUUUAUUGCUCCGAGAAUAGAUUUAUGGUAGAUUCGACAAUACAAAGCAAAUAUUCAUACAGAGAGUGUUCAUGAUGUGAUGAUGCAAACCUGUAUAUAAAAUGCAAAGGUAUACUUGUAUGUAAGAUUUUUUUUCCUUAAGCAAAAAUGUGAUGAUGCAAUGACAUUUUAUCAUUUUAAUCUAAACUGAAUGUAGUUAAAUGGAUAAGGAGUUUACAGAAUGU